GUCUACGGCCAUACCACCCUGAAUGUGCCCGAUCUCGUUUGAUCUCAGAAGCUAAGCAGGGUCGGGCCUGGUUAGUACUUGGAUGGGAGAACUCAGUGAGUAGUAAGUG
This 109-nucleotide ribosomal RNA is filed under the name Ochotona princeps (American pika). Lineage: Eukaryota; Metazoa; Chordata; Mammalia; Lagomorpha; Ochotonidae. The record is from RNAcentral.